Molecule: ribosomal RNA, 497 nt
Filed under: uncultured bacterium
Lineage: Bacteria
Description: partial 16S ribosomal RNA
Rfam family: Bacterial small subunit ribosomal RNA
Source: RNAcentral
GAUGAACGCUGGCGGCGUGCCUAAUACAUGCAAAUCGAGCGAACAGAUAAGGAGCUUGCUCCUUUGACGUUAGCGGCGGACGGGUGAGUAACACGUGGGUAACCUACCUAUAAGACUGGAAUAACUCCGGGAAACCGGGGCUAAUGCCGGAUAACAUUUAGAACCGCAUGGUUCUAAAGUGAAAGAUGGUUUUGCUAUCACUUAUAGAUGGACCCGCGCCGUAUUAGCUAGUUGGUAAGGUAACGGCUUACCAAGGCAACGAUACGUAGCCGACCUGAGAGGGUGAUCGGCCACACUGGAACUGAGACACGGUCCAGACUCCUACGGGAGGCAGCAGUAGGGAAUCUUCCGCAAUGGGCGAAAGCCUGACGGAGCAACGCCGCGUGAGUGAUGAAGGUCUUCGGAUCGUAAAACUCUGUUAUUAGGGAAGAACAAAUGUGUAAGUAACUGUGCACGUCUUGACGGUACCUAAUCAGAAAGCCACGGCUAACUACGUG